Molecule: non-coding RNA, 797 nt
Organism: Misgurnus anguillicaudatus (oriental weatherfish)
Lineage: Eukaryota; Metazoa; Chordata; Actinopteri; Cypriniformes; Cobitidae
Source: RefSeq, a predicted model, not a curated record
UGAGAAACACCCAUAGAAAGGUCAACUUACCCCAUACUCUAACCUGAAUGCAGGGAUCAUAAAACUUUAUCUUUUACCUUAAUUGUUAGAUGGGUGUUGAUACCAAACUUUUUUUCUCGUCUACCCAGGAGAAAGUCAUGGGUUCUGCUGCUAAGGUUGUCAUAAACGUCUUUUAUUCUGCUUACCUGACUCAUGCAGAAUUCUGGCUUGAUGUUUGGUCCACCUGUUAGCUGGCUCUGGUGCUUGGUAGUCUUCUCAAACCUCUGAAUCAAGACCACCAUGAGAGGCCUUCUGAAGACCAUCAUUACGCUUCAGAUCCAGUUGUCUUUACUAAGAGCCUACCACAAUCCCUGUGCACCAGCUAUGGAAAGUGCAGACCAAACUUCUACCUCCACCUAUAGAACUGAACUGGAGUCUAUGAACUAAUGCUGUGUUCGAGACAACUUGGAUGUUGGAUAUUAUUGACCUUAAACCCGUAAGAAGUCAGGAACAGGAAACAAAGUGGAGUAUCCGACCUCUCAACUUGGACCAGAUCGAUCAACACCGACCUCAACGAGAUGCGUCAUUUGACAUUGCAGACAAGAUCCUUUCUCUUUUUAAUGCAGCACUUAAGGAUGAACCACCCUGAUCUACUAAGAUGCACAGAUUCAACUCUGGCCCAGCAUCAUCCCCAUACCUCAUCUGCCAUCAGUUCAAUUUAAUGUCUGUCAAUUGCAAAUGGUAUUUAUUUCAGUUAUAUUACAACUUAAUAUUAAAGGAAUAGUCUACCCUUUUGCCAUAUUAAACUAUGUUAUUAC